RNAcentral lists this unclassified non-coding RNA (270 nucleotides) under uncultured fungus. Its description in RNAcentral is "partial contains small subunit ribosomal RNA, internal transcribed spacer 1, and 5.8S ribosomal RNA". The stretch from base 1 to 73 matches the Rfam family "Eukaryotic small subunit ribosomal RNA", at positions 1759 to 1831 of the family's 1831-position model. The record is from RNAcentral. Lineage: Eukaryota; Fungi.
UCAAACUUGGUCAUUUAGAGGAAGUAAAAGUCGUAACAAGGUUUCCGUAGGUGAACCUGCGGAAGGAUCAUUGGCGAUUGAGUGGGAUUUGGUGGGUUGGGUGAGUGGGUUGGAUGGUUAAGGGAAAACUUUAACUGUUCAUCACAUCUGCCCAUCUCGUCUCAUCACAACACAUUUGCGCUUUAUAUGUAUUGACUUGUCGAACGUUUAUUAAUUAAUAAAACUUUUAACAAUGGAUCUCUGGGCUCCUGCAUCGAUGAAGAACGCAGC